Polypterus senegalus (gray bichir) is the source of this 779-nucleotide long non-coding RNA. RefSeq lists it as uncharacterized. Lineage: Eukaryota; Metazoa; Chordata; Cladistia; Polypteriformes; Polypteridae. The transcript has 2 exons. The record is from RefSeq and is a predicted model, not a curated record.
CGACUUCUCAGGAGAAGACAUGAAAGAAGGAAGAAGACAGCUGGCAUUAUUUCUAGCUCGGAAGUACAUGAAAAAUUUUGAUGCAACACACUGCACACCCUACCACCUUAUGAAUUUCAGUUACCCUGGACGUUAUAACACUGAGAGGAUGUCAAGGAGCAUUUCUACUUGAAGCAUCCAAGAUGCGAUACCCGUUUUUGUCAGCUAAUUGUGCCAGCUGAUUUGGAAGAACCUGUAUAACUGAAGAUUGUAGUUUAUGAGCAACUUGACUUGAUGACCUCAUGCAUUUUAAAUAUUCCACCUUGAAGCGUGUGUUAAAAUGUCAGCUAAUCCCAUCUGCUCAAAUCUAUCUAUUGAGUAGACAAAUAUUUUACCAGUUAUUCAAGCAUCUGUUAUUAUUUUUGUACUUUUGAACUACAGCAUAAUAAUUUAUUUGUGAAUAUCUUUUUAACUUCUGUAGAGGUUGACAUGACAUCUUCCUCAAGCAAAUAAAUCUUAAGACUCUUCUAGUGAGAUUUGCCUGAAAUUGGACUAAGCUACCUUGUUGUAAUUUUUUGAAGAAUUUAUAAUAUUGUUAUUUACCAUAUGUUUGAAACUGAGUUUAUGUGGUGGUCAUCAUAAUCGUUUAAACAAAUUGAAUUAUUGGAUUACUACAGGCACAAAAACCAUGUUCUCAGUGUCUCAAUCUCUUUGCAGCAUAUUAAUUUCUGAUUAUUGCACUAGUGCACAAAGUGCUCACACAUUAUGUGUAUUUUUAUUUUAAAUCAAGCAAAUUUAAA